AUGCAGCUGACGAGUCCCAAAUUGGACGAAACACGCGUCCUGGAU
Molecule: non-coding RNA, 45 nt
Filed under: Schistosoma curassoni
Lineage: Eukaryota; Metazoa; Platyhelminthes; Trematoda; Strigeidida; Schistosomatidae
Source: RNAcentral